This is a long non-coding RNA of Daphnia magna, 1485 nucleotides long. RefSeq lists it as uncharacterized. The record is from RefSeq and is a predicted model, not a curated record. Lineage: Eukaryota; Metazoa; Arthropoda; Branchiopoda; Diplostraca; Daphniidae. The transcript is spliced from 3 exons.
UUAGUGUGUUUCUCUUUGGGCCACACUUUAUUAUUGUCAUCUUUUAUCAGUUAUUACAUCAUGCUUAUCAAGUAGGCAAUUUUAUUUCUUAUUAUUAGGGACAAAUUCCUCAUCAUCUUCUAGUCAUGGGGAAUGGAGUACGGUAUGGAUAGAAAAAUUUUUGGUACAUGUUUUGUUCUUUUUUCAAUACAAUAAGUCUGUCUUUCCAAAAAUGAAAGGAAUCAAAGAAAAUAGGAGUUGAACCAGUUGAAAUUCCUGAAUAAAGUUCCAACUUAUUUCUAACGGAUCCACUGUUAUCCAAACAUGAACAUUCUUACAUGUACAAUGCUUACAAAGAAAAUGCUUGGGUGAGCAAAUGGUAGUUUACAGGCUGUAGACCAUUCCAUGCACUACUAUUUGAAGAGGUUUGAGAUAGGAACCCAUUUCAUUGUUCAGAAGUAAGUCUUCUAGUGAUGAUCCUUUGGCAGCAUAACAGUUUCUACAAAAAAAGUGGCUGCACGACUGAGAUGUAACUCUGGCUACUGAAGAAUAUACCACAAGUAUGUCAUAAUUAUCUCCUUUAUUUUCCUCUUCCUUGGACAAAGAGUAGCAUAAAUGGAAUACAAAUUUGGAGGUGACAUUUGCUGGCAAUUUACUUUUAUAAGUUCUCAAAGUUCGAGAAAAUGUCCAUCUAACUCCUUUGGUUUAUAUUUGUUCGCGAUGGCAUUGCUAAAAAUACGAGCCGCCAAAAGAAUUUGUGCCACUUCCAACAAUAUUUUCGCCAGGAAAACGAAGAGAUAAAACUAGUUGCUGAACGCAAGAGUGCUAUACGCUCUCUCGAUUCACAAGUACCACAAAUAAGGGCAAGUUAGUUAGGGUCAAAAACUGCUUAGAAUGUCAAUAGCAGGAUUUCUCUGAGUGUUUUGAAGUGAAGUGAAAAUUUAUAACGCAUUUUUUUUUCUAAUUCAUGUGUUUUUUUGUUUUACAGAUUAAUGUUCAUAAUGAAUUUGAAGAGGAUUCCCACUGAUGCCAAUCAUAUCAGGAAUAAUAAAGAUGGGAGGCAUGGCUGUUAAUUACCAUAAUUUGCUAAUCUUCUACUACGUCGUGGUAUUUCUUGUAAACAAAUUAAAGUGCAUAUCUGGGCUCCCUUCUUUUCUGUGGCCCCGUUUCCCCUUGACUUGUGAUAAGCCCGUAGUGGGUCAUGCCGCUACUGUGAUCAGCAGAGAAGGUUGUGAGUGCGCUGUCCGGAAAGGGGACGUGGGGGUCCCCAUGGUUCUGUGAUAUCAUUGGAGGGCUGUGGGGCUACCCACAAAUCCGAAUUAACGGUUAAUCGCUCACGUUAAAACUUGUCCUUCGAAUUCAUCACUCUUCUCUUCUUCCGGCUUCUCUUAGCCACGCCCCGGGUAAUCUCCCCGGGGGUCCAAUUGAGGCAGUGUUUACCUGCACUGGUUUCUGGUAUGCACGUAAAAUAUGUGGAGAAUUUUAAAUAAAAUUGUCUUCAACAAA